RNAcentral lists this ribosomal RNA (231 nucleotides) under uncultured bacterium. RNAcentral's name for it is "partial 16S ribosomal RNA". It matches the Rfam family "Bacterial small subunit ribosomal RNA", at positions 524 to 761 of the family's 1533-position model. The record is from RNAcentral.
UACGUAGGGCGCGAGCGUUGUCCGGAAUUAUUGGGCGUAAAGAGCUCGUAGGCGGCCUGUUGCGUCCGCUGUGAAAUCCCGGGGCUCAACCUGGGCGUGCAGUGGAUACGGGCAGGCUGGAGGCAGGCAGGGAGAACGGAAUUCCGGUGGUAGCGGUGAAUGCGCAGAUAUCGGGAGAACACCGGUGGCGAAGGCGGUCUCUGGCCUGUGCUGACGCUGAGCGCGAAGCCA